Molecule: long non-coding RNA, 1802 nt
Organism: Rhinopithecus roxellana (golden snub-nosed monkey)
Lineage: Eukaryota; Metazoa; Chordata; Mammalia; Primates; Cercopithecidae
Exons: 6
Source: RefSeq, a predicted model, not a curated record
CAGGUGUGAGCCACCACACCCUGCCUACACUUCCUUUUUUACUGUGAGUGGAAGCAGCCUAAAGCCAUUGUGAUGGUUCAUAUUGAGUGUCAACUUGAUGGGAAUUGAAGGAUGUGAAGUAUUGUUCCUGAGUGUGUCUGUGAGAGUGUUGCCAAAGGAGAUUAACAUUUGAGUCGGUGAACUGAGAGAAGCCACCCUACCUACCAAUGUGGCUAGAAUAAAAGCAGGCAGAAGAACAUAGAAGGACUUGACUUGCUGAGUCUUACAGCCUUCAUCAUUCUCCCAUGCUGGAUGCUUCCCACCCUCGAACAUCAGACUCCAAGUUCUUCAGCUUUUGGACUCUUGGACUUACACCAGUGGUUGGCCAAGGGUUCUCUGGACUUCGGCCACAGACUGAAGACUGCACUGUCGACCUCCCUGUUUUUGAUAUUUUGGGACUCGAACUGGCUUCCUUGCUCCUCAGCUUGCAGAUGGCCUAUUGUGGGACUUCACCUUGUGAUCGUGAACCUUGACAUCAGUUUCACCUCUCCUCUGGGGCUGAGAGAUGGAAAGAAGGGUCAGGAACUUGAACAGAAAUCCAGCCCUCAGUACAUUUCAAUUACCAGCAAAUCUGAUGCCACUGAGAAGCCCCCCGGGUCCCUUGGAUGCAAAGGAAACAUUUAGCACCUAUGUGCUCUUCUCUCCUGCCGAUAUCAUCCAUCUAAAGGAUUUUUCCUGUACCCCGGGAAGAUACACAAAAGUUUGCAGAAAUGCUCCACAGCUUGUGUUUCGUUUACAGCCCUGCACAUAGGGAUGUGCACUGACUUGACUCUUGUGGGGAAUCCUGCAACCAGCCCAUUUUGCUUGUUUGAGGACCUGGAGAUGAUCCACCACCUAAGGUGGCACUGUGACCAGAAGAAAUUGAUUACCACUCCCUACAACUACAGAACUGAGCACGUUGGAGAUCCAUCCAGAGCGACUGCUAGCAGCAGUACUUGAAGCCUUUCCACUAAAGGUUUCCUUUUAAUACAUGGUGUCAGAAGUAGCAUCUGAAAUAGAGCUUCCAGUGACCCCCAGGAGCAUCAAGUAACCAAGCAAGGUACCUGCUGACCCCAUUGUGUUCAUUGUUUUCUCACAGCAACUGGGAAUCAUGGAGACGAGGUCUCACUAUGUUGCCCAGGCUGCUCUUGAACUCCUGGGUUCAAGAGAUCCACCCACCUCAGCCUCCCAAAGUCCUGGGAUUAGAGGUGUGAGGCACCGUGCCAGGCCCUGAUGCAUUUUCUGAAAGCUUUUCAGAAGCAAAUAAAUUGCUAAAGUAUUGUGUCUCCUAAAAGGUUCAUGGAAAGGAUAGAAAGGACCCUGAUAUCAUUUACACUGGGUAAAGGAAGCUUUUCAUGAUGCACUAACUGAAGACAAUGAAACCCUUUAUGAUCUAGAACCUGGAGACUGAGGCUUCUAAAAACAUCAGAAAAAGACUGCCCUGCCACCUACACUGCAGCAGUAGAAUCUUUGGUCCAUGGAGUCACUCAUGCUAAAUGUGACAUAACCAAACUGAAACUGUAUGGAAGCAGAUAGAUCCCAAAAACAGACUAUGGUUGUUUUUGUGGGUUUUUUUGUUUUUUUUUUUUUUUUUUUUUUUUUUUUGUUUGUUUGUUUUUGUUUUUCUCUCUCUCUCUCCUGAAAACAGGAGACUCCAGCAUGAGAAAGCCCCUUCCGGCCCAGUGCGGCGGCUCACGCCUAUAAUCCCAGCACUUUUUGCUUGAGCCCAGGAGUUCCAGACCAGCAUAAUCAACAGGGCAAAACCCCAUCUCUACUAAAAGUAC